AUAAUUUAUUUCAAAUCAAUAUAAAUUUGUACAUUAUAUAUAUCCAAAAUUUUAUAAUAAAAAUUAUAUUUAUAAAUUAAUAUGUUAUAUUUUAUUAAAAAAUAUUUACAAUAUCCUACAGUAGUCUUUUUUUCAUAUACAUCGAACAUUUUUAUAUAUUUUUUAAUUUUUGAUGAAGCAAAUUUAAAUAUAUGUUUUAAACUACAAGUAUCAAAAUUUAAUUCACAUUUACGUUAAAAUUUAAAAUUUAAUUUUCACCCACUAUAUUAAAAAAAUUAAUUGUUAAUUCAAAUUUAAAAUAAAAAAUUUAAUUUGAUUUAUAAUUUAAACUCAAAUUUUAAGUUUAAUGUAAAAUAGAUGAAUAGAAAUGCUAUUUUUUAACAAAUUGAUCAUAACCGUUUAUUUUUAUUUAAGAUAUUUUUUAACAAAUUGAUUAUAAUCGUUCGUAUAAUUGAAUUUAUAGAUGGAUAUGAAUGCUAGUUUUUAAUAAAUUGAUCAUAAUUGUUCUUAUUUGAGAUUUUUUUUAACAAAUUGAUCAUAGUCAUUUGUAGAGAAUAGAUUUUUAUAUAUAGUAGAGAUUUAAUAAAUCAAUCAUAACCAUUCGUUUGUAUUUGAGAUAUUUUUAACAAAUUAAUCAUAACCAUUCGUAGCGAAUAUUAUUUUAUUCCUUUUUGGAUUCUGUCUGUCAUUGUCGGAAUUCCUAUACGCUUUUACAUAUAGCAUAGAUAGAGUAGGACUACUAUACUCUUAUGAGUAUAGAGCCCUUCGUACUCAUAAGUUGUUUUCGAUGUUGGGCUUUUCGAAUCGACGAUCCACACCGUUAAACAUAAUCUCAAAUAUUUGAAACUUUUAGAAAAUAAAUUUCUUAAUUUUUCGAAAUUAUUAUAAAGUUUAUCAAGCGAGUAUAAAAUGAACGGUUAAAAUCGAACGAUAUCCUAAAAAUAGAUGAUCGGAUCCUUCAAUUUAAGAUCGGAGUUAUUGAUCUUUAUUUAGAUAGUGAAUAGAAUUUUCUAUCAAAAUUUCAACCUAUUCCAAUUUUUUUUCACCGUUAAACAAGCAAAUAUCUCAUAUAAGCUGUUAAAAAUUGUCAAUUUUGUAAACUUUUGAUUGUAAGAUAAAUGAUAUCAAAAAAUUAUAAAAUUUGAUUUCUAGAAGUUUUAAAUGCUCUAGGUAUUUUUUAACGGUAUGAAUUGUCGAUUCAGAAGCUCUAUUAUCGAAAACAACUUAUGAGUAUAAAGGCGAUUGUACUCAUAAAAAUAUAGUAGCCUAACUAUAUAUAUAUAUAUAUAUAUAUAUAUGUACAGAGAGAGAGAGAGAGAGAGAGAGAGAGAGUUGAGCCGGAAUACUAUCGGUAAUAAAUGGGCUCCGUUGCCACCCAUUUAUUUUCGAUGAUGGAGCCUCCAAAUUGACGAUCGGCAUCAUUGUAAAUGAUCUAUACCACUUGAAGUAUUUAAAAAUCAAAUUUUAUGCUUUUUCGAUAUUAUUCUCUUGUCUAUCAAGUGAGCGUAAAAAUAAACGGCUGAAAAUGAAUAUCCUCUAAAAAGUGAUUAUAGAAAUUUCAUAAUCAAGAUCAAGAGUAUAGAUCUUGUUCCAAAUAGUUUAAAGAAUUUUCUAACCAAAAUUCAAUUGAUUUGGAUAGCUUUACACCAAUAAACGAGAAAACGUCUCAUAUCUAUCAUUAAAAUUACAAAUUUUGAAACUCUUUAAUCAUUAGGUCCAUGAU
This 1723-nucleotide long non-coding RNA is filed under the name Ananas comosus (pineapple). RNAcentral describes it as "long non-coding RNA (ACOM_LNC029242)". The record is from RNAcentral. Lineage: Eukaryota; Viridiplantae; Streptophyta; Magnoliopsida; Poales; Bromeliaceae.